Molecule: ribosomal RNA, 780 nt
Filed under: uncultured Neocallimastigales
Lineage: Eukaryota; Fungi; Neocallimastigomycota; Neocallimastigomycetes; Neocallimastigales
Description: partial large subunit ribosomal RNA
Rfam family: Eukaryotic large subunit ribosomal RNA
Source: RNAcentral
UAUCUCUGUAGAGUCUGCAUAUCAAUAAGCGGAGGAAAAGAAACUAACUAGGAUUCCCUCAGUAACGGCGAGUGAAGCGGGAAGAGCUCAAAUUUGAAAUCUUCAAGGUUCUACCUUGACGAAUUGUAGUUUAAAGAAGUGUUUUCUGCUGGAGUUUUGGUAAAAGUUCUUUGGAAUAGGACAUCAUAGAGGGUGAGAAUCCCGUAUUUGACCAUUACUUCCAGCGUUGUGAUACACUUUCAAAGAGUCGGAUUGUUUGGGAAUGCAGUCCAAAAUGGGUGGUAAAUUUCAUCUAAAGCUAAAUAUUGGCGAGAGACCGAUAGCGAACAAGUACCGUGAGGGAAAGAUGAAAAGAACUUUGAAAAGAGAGUUAAGACAGUACGUGAAAUUGUCAAAAGGGAAGCGUUUGACACCAGUGUUGUUUUCUCGAAAAUCAAUUAAAAAAGUCAGGAUUUUGUAUUGUAAUUGACCUUUAUCAGCUUUACUGCUACUCUUUUCUUGUCUUUUUUUAAUGCACUUUUCGUUUAACAAGUCAACAUCAAUUUCUUUUGUUGUAAAAGGGUCAUUGGAAGGUGGCUUUCUUUUCGGAGAAAGUGUUUAUAGCCUUUAGCCUCUGCAAUCGGAGAGAUUGAGGUCUGCAGCGUAGAUCCUUCGGGGUUAGAUACAUUUGUGCUAAGUUAUAGCCUUUCAUAGACAACUUGUUGACUAUGAUCAGUCAUGUAGCUUACUCGCUUAUGCUAUUUUACCUACGCUUAGGAUGUUGACGAUCAGCUGAGCGCG